AGAUAAUUUUACAACAAAAUAAUUCGCCAGAGGACUACUAGCAAUAGCUUAAAACUCAAAGGACUUGGCGGUGCUUUAUAUCCCUCUAGAGGAGCCUGUUCUAUAAUCGAUAAACCCCGAUAAACCUCACCACCCUUUGCUAAUUCAGUCUAUAUACCGCCAUCUUCAGCAAACAA
RNAcentral lists this ribosomal RNA (176 nucleotides) under Canis aureus (golden jackal). RNAcentral describes it as "partial small subunit ribosomal RNA". Lineage: Eukaryota; Metazoa; Chordata; Mammalia; Carnivora; Canidae. The record is from RNAcentral.